RNAcentral lists this unclassified non-coding RNA (1059 nucleotides) under Hevea brasiliensis (rubber tree). The record is from RNAcentral. Lineage: Eukaryota; Viridiplantae; Streptophyta; Magnoliopsida; Malpighiales; Euphorbiaceae.
GUGUGUGUGUGUGUGUGUGCGCGCACUGAAUAGUCGUGUGUGUGUGUCUGUGUGUGUGUAUACACUGAAUAGUCGAAUAUCAAACUUGGAGAUAUUAGGAUCAACAGAUGACCUUGCUUGACUUAGCCUCAACAAAGUAAUUGAUAUUACAUUUUGUCCAAAAUAUAAACAUAUAUAAGAGAUAAAGUUAAGGAUGGUAAAAUUUUAUAAUACAUGUAUUUUCUAUAUUUUUAACCCCACUAACCUUAUCAUGACUUAGGUCACCUAACUUCACAUUGUAACAUUUUGCUUGGGUGAUAUUUUCAUUCUAAUUUAAUUCAUCUAUUUCCCAGUGAGCCAGACCUGUGUGCAACAAACACAAACUCAACACAACUUAUUAAGGCAUUGUCCCAACUCCAUUAUUCUUAAGAAAGACAUUCGAAUACAUUCCUCUAACAUUAAUAGACAGGAAAUACAAGCAUCUUCAAUAUGUUACCUUUUUAUAGAAUUUCCAAUAGUAAGACGUGUCCAAAUUAAUCAUUGUAUGAAAUGGAAAAACUUAUCACCCGACAUGCUGAUGUUGUUGUAAUAAAACAUGAAAAACCAAAGAACGCACACUCAUGCAACUGACAACAUCAAAAUCAAAUAAACCCAUUAUGGCAUUACCUGCGUCUAAACCUGCAUGCACAUCCACAUGCAAGUACCAGUCCGUGCACCUAGUGUAGACCGGGGAGAAAGCAUGACCAUAAUAGCAUUAGAAUUAAAAUUCUCACAUGCAAUUCUCAAUCCAUAAAACUUCUUCCUUUCAGGUUCACUCUAAGUUGGUACCUUCAUGCUCAUAAGAACAUUUACAUUAAUCUUUAUCAAGAAGCAGACACUUGUUAUUACAAUAUUUAUAUGCAUAUUAGUUUAUUUAUAGUUUUCUGUUUUCCUUUUUCUAAAUGUAUGCAAAUUUUUCAAAAUUAAUAGUUUUAUUAAAAAUGGUUAUCCUCUUCUUCCUUGUUGAACUUGAUUUAUGAUUGUUCAUCUAUAAUACAAAUUUGCAAAACUAUUUCUUAAUUGAGUACACUUAUGAAUUGC